GGGUUCCUCUUCUCCCCUCAGCCGCCGCCGCCACCUCUCCCAAACCCCAUCUCGUUCCCAUCUCUCUUCUUCUUCUCUGUCAGGUAAGUUAGCAAAGGGUGCAGAGAGAGAGAGAGUCGCCGGCUUCUUCCGCGGGCGUCGUCGGGCGGCUCGGCCGCCAUGUCCGGGGGCUCGGGGCGGCUCCCCGCGUCCCAUUCCCGGCGCUAGGACCCCGAGGUGUGCCCCCCCCCCCGUCGAGCUCGUCCUCGUCAACGGGACGCACCGGGCGAACUGCUUCGUCACUGCUUCGGUCUACGGCAGGAUUUCCCUCGGCACGUCUUCUUCCUCUCCGGCAUUCUUCUUCCUCUCCAGGCGGCUCCUCCUUCCCGUACGGCGCCCCCUCUUCUUCCCUAGGUGAUGACGACGCCCCCCCUCCUUCUUCCUCCCUGGUUCGCCCUAGAUCCGAGUGGGGUCUCCGUGUUCCUUUGUGUGCUGUUCGUCAGAGCCCAGGAAGCCGCGUGAGUGCUCUCUGUCCCGAGCAGCAGCAGGAGAUCGGGCUGUAGGAGUGUGGGGAUCGUGGUGCAUGUAGUAGUAGUAGCAGUAGGAUGAGCUCCCGCGUCACAGCACAGCAGCAGCAGCGUGCUCGGCGCCUUCUCUGUUGCCGGCGAGCAGCAGCUCACGCGCAGGUGCAGAGCAAACCUGACGGGAGUGUUAGCUUACCUAUUGCAGACCUCCUCCUCUGUCAGCUAUCCUUUUCAUAGCGCAGUGGUAGUGAGUCCCGUGGUUUACCGAGAGGUGCAGGGAUCGAGUCCCAAGUGGUGCACCUCCACCUUUUUUUUGGGUUUUUCUUGCCUGUGGCGAUACCAGCAGCAGAGAGGUUAUCUCGCCAUGUAACCCUCCUUUGUCGAGUGCAUAGUGAUCAGUGGAGUGGUAGUGGUGCUCUGGGUUACCAGAGGGAGUCCUGGGAUCGAAUCCUAGGAAGUUCCUUUUUUUCCUUUUUUGUUUUGUUUUCUCUUUGCUGCUAUAUUGAUUCAUCUUUGCUUUGUAGUUCCUGUUAUAUCCAUAGAUGGCUUGGCAUUUUUUUUCCAUCCUAUGCUGCAAUAAGAGGUGUCAUACCAGGUUUGCAUGUGUGUGUUCAUAUGAGUAGAGCAUACAUGUUGUGUGUGUGAGGACAUACAUAUGGGCUUGGUGGCACUAGCUUGUGUGUAUGGUGGUGCUUCCUAGAAGUUGAUCUUAAGAUAUGAUAGCAAGUGUAGUGGUAACAUGUGUAGGUACUUCUUUGUUGUAGGUGCUUGCAUUUGAUGUUGCACUAGGUGGUGUGUGUAUAAGUAUAGUAGUUCUUGUUCUAGGAUGGUUGAUUUGAUUACAUGAGUAAGUGUGUGGAUUUGAUCUCGAGCAUGAUGUGUUUGUGAGUGUGUGUGCCCUAGAUACUUGUGAGUGUGUGUGUGUGAGUGCUAGGCGAGUGCAUAUGCAAGCACAAGUGAGUGGAGUUGUGGUGCAUUGUGCACUUGGUGUGUGCAAGUGUUGGCACCUUCAUUUGUGCAAGAAGGAAGCCCUCAUGUGCACCUAGAUGAGGUUGUGGUGAGGAUAUGCGUGUGGGUGGCAGCCCCACUUUGCAACACUUGUGCUCCUCCUCAUGUUUAAUAUGAGAGAGAGCAUGUUGUGUGUGUGGGGUUGGAUUGUGAUAAGCAUUGGAGUUGUUGAUGUGCAUGACACAAACAUGGGGUUCAAACCCCCAUGUCACCUUGUCAGUGUGCACAUGAAACCCUCCUAUGCAUUGUCAUCUUAGAAGAAUACCUUAUGGAUUUGCAUUUUUAUUUUGUUGAAAGUUUGGGCUUUGUUUCCAUGAUAUAGAUGGAGCCCAAAGGCAUGGAUCUUGGUGUGUUAGUUGUAGGGGUUUGUGCUCAAUACCAUAGUGGUGUCAAACACCUCUUGGGAACUUGUGUGUGCAAACUAUGCCUAGACAAAGUGGGCAUGUGGUUGGGAAAAUUCCAGAUUUUUGAACUCUGAAAAUUUCACUAAGUCUGGGAUGCUGAAAACAUUUUCUUCCCCUGUAGAUAAGGUUGUUCUGGUCAUUAUGUUGGGAACUGGACUUAGUUCAGUGCUAGUGUUUUGAACCUGGUAUGUUUGUGAAGCUUCCUGUCAAUUUUAAAGUCAUUUGGAGUCCAGUAGCUUGUGUUUUGGUUGCUGCCAAAGGGCUUCAGAACAGAAACAGAAUCUCAGGUGCAGGAAAUUUCACUAAGUCCCUGAGAACUGAUGGUUUUGGGAAAGUUUGUGGCCUUGUAUCUUCUAGAGUUUGAUUCCUUUUGCUGUGAUUCUUGCUGGAGCUUGUAGUGUUCUUGGUUGGCAACAGCCACAUAUAUUAUUUGUCAUAUUUGAAGACCUGUAGCUAUGUUGCAUGUGGCUCUCAAACAGCUAAGAUGCAGAAACUGGCAGAUUGCGUAGUUUUGACAUUUUGUUCAAAGUUUGUGUUUAAUUGUUGUUGGGGUGUUCUGCCUUGCUCAAUUUCAUUCAUGUUGGGUUAAUGUAUGUCUUGGCAACCUAGGGACACCAGAUUGUGCCAAUUGUGUGUGUGGUGAUGAAUCUUUCACGUAGGGCUUCAUAUCGUGUUUCGUUGAUUCCCGUUGAUCCGUAGCUCCGUUUGCAAAGUUCUUUAUAUGGUUUUGCACCGUUUUUACGAGAUGCAUCUGUUCAUAUCAUUCCCAUGCAUGUCCAAAUAGUUUAGUGCAAAGUUCUGUCCAGGAACUUGUUGUAGUUAUUCUUGCUUGUGCUAGUGUUAGAAAUAGUGGUGCAUGCUCAACUUUCAUCUCAUGCAUCAUGUGAUUGUUGCAUUUUGUGGUGCUGCUGUUCAUUGGCUGUCAUUCUUGUGUUGGGUAGCACCGGGAGCGGAGACCGAUUACGCGGAGUCAGGAGAGUACGUGCAGGUCGAUCCAGAACCAUUCCAAGCUGAGGAUAUCACAGGC
RNAcentral lists this long non-coding RNA (2942 nucleotides) under Hordeum vulgare. RNAcentral's name for it is "long non-coding RNA (HVUL_LNC006415)". Lineage: Eukaryota; Viridiplantae; Streptophyta; Magnoliopsida; Poales; Poaceae. The record is from RNAcentral.